RNAcentral lists this ribosomal RNA (578 nucleotides) under uncultured Bacteroidota bacterium. RNAcentral's name for it is "bacterial SSU rRNA". It matches the Rfam family "Bacterial small subunit ribosomal RNA", at positions 338 to 916 of the family's 1533-position model. The record is from RNAcentral. Lineage: Bacteria; Pseudomonadati; Bacteroidota.
CCUACGGGAGGCAGCAGUAAGGAAUAUUGGUCAAUGGACGCAAGUCUGAACCAGCCAUGCCGCGUGGAGGAUGAAGGUCCUCUGGAUUGUAAACUUCUUUUCUCUGGGACGAAACCCCCGAUUUCCAUCGGGCCUGACGGUACCAGAGGAAUAAGCACCGGCUAACUCCGUGCCAGCAGCCGCGGUAAUACGGAGGGUGCAAGCGUUAUCCGGAUUCACUGGGUUUAAAGGGUGCGUAGGCGGGUUUGUAAGUCAGUGGUGAAAUCCCCAAGCUUAACUUGGGAACUGCCAUUGAUACUGCAAAUCUUGAAUUUUCUGGAGGUAAGCGGAAUAUGUCAUGUAGCGGUGAAAUGCUUAGAUAUGACAUAGAACACCCAUUGCGAAGGCAGCUUACUACGGGAACAUUGACGCUGAGGCACGAAAGCGUGGGGAUCAAACAGGAUUAGAUACCCUGGUAGUCCACACUGUAAACGAUGAUAACUCGCUGUCGGCGAUACACAGUCGGUGGCCAAGCGAAAGCGAUAAGUUAUCCACCUGGGGAGUACGACCGCAAGGUUGAAACUCAAAGGAAUUGACGG